Molecule: unclassified non-coding RNA, 278 nt
Filed under: Hevea brasiliensis (rubber tree)
Lineage: Eukaryota; Viridiplantae; Streptophyta; Magnoliopsida; Malpighiales; Euphorbiaceae
Source: RNAcentral
AGAUGACUAGCAGUUGAAGAACUGUGGCGUAGAUUGCUGCAAUAGAGGAUGAGAGAUGUCAACCCGUUAUUGCUGCAGGUAUAAUCUUCACCCGCUCGCAUGAGAGUUGCAAAGUGAACAGAAUUUGAAGGCCUAAAACCCUUCAAAUUCAAGGUGAAGGACGAAGUCCUACCACCUUCAUAUCUUCCCAAUUGUCCCACAAGAAGAAGCUCAUCUGCAACUUUUAUGCCAAUUUUGGACAAGCAUGCGAUUGCCAGAGGUCUAUGGUGACUUGACAA